UGACGCUGAGGCACGAAAGCGUGGGGAUCGAACAGGAUUAGAUACCCUGGUAGUCCACGCAGUAAACGAUGAAUGCUCGCGGUUCGCGACAGACAGUGAGCCGCCCAGCGAAAGCGUUAAGCAUUCCACCUGGGGAGUACGCCGGCAACGGUGAAACUCAAAGGAAUUGACGGGGGCCCGCACAAGCGGAGGAACAUGUGGUUUAAUUCGAUGAUACGCGAGGAACCUUACCCGGGCUUGAAAGUUAGUGACGGUACUGGAAACAGUACUUUCCGCAAGGACACGAAACUAGGUGCUGCAUGGUUGUCGUCAGCUCGUGCCGUGAGGUGUCGGCUCAAGUGCCAUAACGAGCGCAACCCUUGCCUACAGUUGCCAUCGGGUGAAGCCGGGGACUCUGUAGGGACUGCCACCGCAAGGUGCGAGGAAGGGGGGGAUGACGUCAAAUCAGCACGGCCCUUACGUCCGGGGCGACACACGUGUUACAAUGGCCGGUACAGAGAGAAGCGAAGCGGCGACGCCGAGCAGACCCCAGAAAGCCGGCCCCAGUACGGAUUGGAGUCUGCAACCCGACUCCAUGAAGCUGGAUUCGCUAGUAAUCGC
RNAcentral lists this ribosomal RNA (600 nucleotides) under uncultured bacterium. RNAcentral's name for it is "bacterial SSU rRNA". It matches the Rfam family "Bacterial small subunit ribosomal RNA", at positions 741 to 1345 of the family's 1533-position model. The record is from RNAcentral.